Molecule: non-coding RNA, 115 nt
Organism: Papio anubis (olive baboon)
Lineage: Eukaryota; Metazoa; Chordata; Mammalia; Primates; Cercopithecidae
Source: Rfam
ACAAACAGCCACGCCUGAACAUGCCUGGUUGCAUCUGAUCGAGGAUGCUAAGCAGGGUUGGGCCUGGUUAGUACUUGCAUGGGAGACCAACUGGGAAUACCAGGUGCUGGAGGCU